Molecule: long non-coding RNA, 334 nt
Filed under: Mus caroli (Ryukyu mouse)
Lineage: Eukaryota; Metazoa; Chordata; Mammalia; Rodentia; Muridae
Description: predicted gene 17118 (MGP_CAROLIEiJ_G0004245.1)
Source: RNAcentral
GUCAGCCCAGAGUCCUUGUCUCUUCCUGGAGGAGAGCGAAGCCUCCAAUCAGGCCCCGGGAAAGCAGUUUUUCAAUCUUCAACUGCAAACACUAAUACCGCUGAAGCUAAUUUUACAGAUUUCCACUUCCAGGCCUUGCCAUUGUCCCAGAAUCCCUUAGCCUGGGAGAUUAGCAGUUUAGAGACUGGAAAAAAUAAGGGAGACGUCAAAGCCGCCAGGACGAGUCAAAGUAAUAUGCCUGCGACUGGCACGCGGACUUUUAUUUCUUCCCCCUCCACGCUCCAGAGCUGCUCCUGCGGCGUGGAGAGAUAAAUAUUUUAAAUAGCGACACUUU